Molecule: ribosomal RNA, 937 nt
Filed under: Pseudomonas viridiflava
Lineage: Bacteria; Pseudomonadati; Pseudomonadota; Gammaproteobacteria; Pseudomonadales; Pseudomonadaceae
Description: bacterial SSU rRNA
Rfam family: Bacterial small subunit ribosomal RNA
Source: RNAcentral
CAUGCAAGUCGAGCGGUAGAGAGAAGCUUGCUUCUCUUGAGAGCGGCGGACGGGUGAGUAAUGCCUAGGAAUCUGCCUGGUAGUGGGGGAUAACGCUCGGAAACGGACGCUAAUACCGCAUACGUCCUACGGGAGAAAGCAGGGGACCUUCGGGCCUUGCGCUAUCAGAUGAGCCUAGGUCGGAUUAGCUAGUUGGUGAGGUAAUGGCUCACCAAGGCGACGAUCCGUAACUGGUCUGAGAGGAUGAUCAGUCACACUGGAACUGAGACACGGUCCAGACUCCUACGGGAGGCAGCAGUGGGGAAUAUUGGACAAUGGGCGAAAGCCUGAUCCAGCCAUGCCGCGUGUGUGAAGAAGGUCUUCGGAUUGUAAAGCACUUUAAGUUGGGAGGAAGGGCAGUAACCUAAUACGUUAUUGUUUUGACGUUACCGACAGAAUAAGCACCGGCUAACUCUGUGCCAGCAGCCGCGGUAAUACAGAGGGUGCAAGCGUUAAUCGGAAUUACUGGGCGUAAAGCGCGCGUAGGUGGUUUGUUAAGUUGAAUGUGAAAUCCCCGGGCUCAACCUGGGAACUGCAUCCAAAACUGGCAAGCUAGAGUAGGGCAGAGGGUGGUGGAAUUUCCUGUGUAGCGGUGAAAUGCGUAGAUAUAGGAAGGAACACCAGUGGCGAAGGCGACCACCUGGGCUCAUACUGACACUGAGGUGCGAAAGCGUGGGGAGCAAACAGGAUUAGAUACCCUGGUAGUCCACGCCGUAAACGAUGUCAACUAGCCGUUGGAAUCCUUGAGAUUUUAGUGGCGCAGCUAACGCAUUAAGUUGACCGCCUGGGGAGUACGGGCCGCAAGGGUAAAACUCAAAUGAAUUGACGGGGGCCCGCACAAGCGGUGGAACAUGGGGGUUAAUUCGAAGCAACGCGAAGAACCUUACCAGGCCUUGAC